UUUUUAUCUUUCCAGCAAUUAACUAAAAAAAAAAAAUUGCUUCUUUUCAACUUCGCCGACUUCUGUUCGUAUCUUCUCCGGCAGCACGCGACGUCUCCGGUCAUCAACUUUGAUGGCAGCACGCAGUGUCUCCAGUGCUCUCUGUGAGUCGCGACCAUCUUCUUUCAAUCACACGAUGGUCUAUUGCUCCAACCUCCACCAACGUUGUGUUCUAUAACACGUAAGCGAGUUCCGCCGAUUCCGCUAAGUCGCCAUGUCGGCGUGACCUUAGACCCUCACCGCCAACUCCGUCAAGCUUCGAUUUCAGUCAAUCAUGGAUGAAGAUGGAUUGAGCAGAUCUCAAUCAACCAUGGCUGAGCGAUUCAAUCGAAUCUGGUGGGGAAACCAACUUUUCAUUAUUUGUGUUUUUGGUCCUCAAAUGUUUUGUUUCUCUUCAUUUUAGUCCCAAACUUUCUAAUUGACAAGAUUUUUUUUUCUGUUUUCAGAUUGAACUUUUCGAUUAUGCACUUUAAACCAUGUUAGCUAAAAAUGGACAAAUAAAUACAAUAUACAUA
RNAcentral lists this long non-coding RNA (554 nucleotides) under Brassica napus (rape). Its description in RNAcentral is "long non-coding RNA (BNAP_LNC014196)". Lineage: Eukaryota; Viridiplantae; Streptophyta; Magnoliopsida; Brassicales; Brassicaceae. The record is from RNAcentral.